Molecule: long non-coding RNA, 1236 nt
Filed under: Triticum aestivum (bread wheat)
Lineage: Eukaryota; Viridiplantae; Streptophyta; Magnoliopsida; Poales; Poaceae
Description: long non-coding RNA (TAES_LNC019123)
Source: RNAcentral
GUGGUGGUGACUAGCAUAGAAGGCGGAGGAGGUCAUUGGAGCCGGCUUCCCUUCCGCUUUGGCUGCCAAGCUCCGCGCGUUGGUGAGUCCCUCUCUCUAUCCCUCUACAUCUCUCCCUCUCUCUGUCAGAGGGCAGCUACCAACCCCGAGGUGCAGGCGGCCAUGGAAAAGCAGAAGAUGCCACACCUAGCUUUCCCCCUUGCCUCCUGCCCUUUCUCUUCAGCUCAUUUAUUUACAUGUGCAAAUUCUCUUUUAUCUAUGCCUGCAAGGUGUUUGAUGAAAGUUCAGUAAGGCUUUGAGGGAAUACCAAACAAGAGAGGAUCCAGUAUCUGUAACAUGCAUCAGGUUGACACCAACUUCAUGCAUUUUGCUUCAAGAUCAUUGUUAAUUUAAUUCAAAAUGUUUUCUCAUUCUAUUGGAAGAUAGAAAGGAUGGUUGUAGAAAGAUAACUGUUCUACUUGGAUACCUUUCUUUGUUCUCGUUUGCAUUUAAGUAAAAAUGUUCAACUGCAGAUAUAGAUUGCCGGCGGGUGGAUAUAUUGCUCAAAAGAUGUCACUAGUGCUGUACUGCUGUAGAUGCCAUUGAUUUCAUAUAUCAAAGCAUUACAGCUCUUUCAGAUCCUUUGUAUUUCCACUUAGUUAGCUUGAAAAUCUUGUCUACUACGGACACCUCUUGAAAAUUGCAAAGGAGUUCUAACUCCCAACAAGCUUAUUUCCUUAAAAAAUGUAACUGGUACAAUGUUCUACGUACCUUAUGAGAGGUCAGCCCCGGCAUCACAGUCCAUUCCUGAAGAAGUUCACAUGCAUGGUGUUGAUUGUUGAGUUUGCUUGGUUAACGGAAUGACAUGCCUAUGCAGAUCAGCAGGGGGAAGGUCCAGGGUGAAACCUUCAGGAGGGAUUUGAUGUUGCUAUUGUUUCAGUUUGCAGAUAGAGGAUGUGAUUCCAGCAAGACAGAGACGAUGGCGAUGACAAGUGAGAUUUAUGUUAAGGAGUAUUAGCAUAUGCUCACAGGAUCACUGGAAGUUUAUAAAUGUAUCCGCAAUGAUUGUUGCUUUCUUAUUGACACAUAAUUGAAUUAUAAUUAUAGACAGUAAGAGUAGUUGUCUUUUCAUUUGUUAGAAAACAUAGUGUACCUUUAUAAUCGUAGUUAUAUGCAAUGAUCCAUCAUGUAUUUUUGUUUAAAACUGCAACCCGUAAUUGUUUGAUGUCAUUAAAUGUCUCUCUCUCUCUCUCUCUN